GACAGAGGGUGCAAACGUUGCUCGGAAUCACUGGGCGUAAAGGGCGUGUAGGCGGGAAUGUAAGUCGGGCGUGAAAUCCCUAGGCUCAACCUAGGAACUGCACUCGAAACUGCGUUUCUUGAGUGCCGGAGAGGAAAGCGGAAUACCUGGUGUAGAGGUGAAAUUCGUAGAUAUCAGGUGGAACACCAGUGGCGAAGGCGGCUUUCUGGACGGUAACUGACGCUGAGACGCGAAAGCGUGGGGAGCAAACAGG
This 253-nucleotide ribosomal RNA is filed under the name uncultured bacterium. RNAcentral's name for it is "partial 16S ribosomal RNA". It matches the Rfam family "Bacterial small subunit ribosomal RNA", at positions 524 to 776 of the family's 1533-position model. The record is from RNAcentral.